Molecule: ribosomal RNA, 253 nt
Filed under: uncultured bacterium
Lineage: Bacteria
Description: partial 16S ribosomal RNA
Rfam family: Bacterial small subunit ribosomal RNA
Source: RNAcentral
GACGAACCGAGCGAACGUUGUUCGGAAUAACUGGGCUUAAAGGGCGCGUAGGCGGGCCGCCAAGUUCGAGGUGAAAUCCUCCGGCUCAACCGGAGAACUGCCUCGAAUACUGGAGGUCUCGAGGGUGGUAGGGGCACGCGGAACUGUGGGUGGAGCGGUGAAAUGCGUUGAUAUCCACAGGAACUCCGGUGGCGAAGGCGGCGUGCUGGACCACAUCUGACGCUGAGGCGCGAAAGCCAGGGGAGCGAACGGG